This 254-nucleotide ribosomal RNA is filed under the name uncultured bacterium. RNAcentral's name for it is "partial 16S ribosomal RNA". It matches the Rfam family "Bacterial small subunit ribosomal RNA", at positions 524 to 776 of the family's 1533-position model. The record is from RNAcentral.
UACGUAGGGUGCGAGCGUUGCCCGGAAUUAUUGGGCGUAAAGAGCUCGUAGGCGGUCUGUCGCGUCGAUCGUGAAAACUUGGGGCUUAACCCUGAGCUUGCGGUCGAUACGGGCAUGACUGGAGUUCGGCAGGGGAGACUGGAAUUCCUGGUGUAGCGGUGAAAUGCGCAGAUAUCAGGAGGAACACCGGUGGCGAAGGCGGGUCUCUGGGCCGAUACUGACGCUGAGGAGCGAAAGCUAGGGGAGCGAACGGG